This 1018-nucleotide ribosomal RNA is filed under the name Tamhinispora sp. Its description in RNAcentral is "partial large subunit ribosomal RNA". It matches the Rfam family "Eukaryotic large subunit ribosomal RNA", at positions 77 to 1120 of the family's 3401-position model. Lineage: Eukaryota; Fungi; Ascomycota; Dothideomycetes; Tubeufiales; Tubeufiaceae. The record is from RNAcentral.
GCCUUAGUAACGGCGAGUGAAGCGGCAACAGCUCAAAUUUGAAAUCUGGCCUCUGGUCCGAAUUGUAAUUUGUAGAGGAUGCUUCGGCUUACGCCCCGGUCUAAGUUCCUUGGAACAGGACGUCACAGAGGGUGAGAAUCCCGUUUGUGGCCGGCGGCUGCUGCCAUGUGAAGCUCCUUCGACGAGUCGAGUUGUUUGGGAAUGCAGCUCUAAAUGGGAGGUAAAUUUCUUCUAAAGCUAAAUACCGGCCAGAGACCGAUAGCGCACAAGUAGAGUGAUCGAAAGAUGAAAAGCACUUUGGAAAGAGAGUUAAAAAGUACGUGAAAUUGUUGAAAGGGAAGCGCUUGCGACCAGACUUGCCCGCGGAUGCUCAACCGGUCCUUCGGCCGGUGCACUCUUCCGCGGUCAGGCCAGCAUCAGUUUGGGUGGUCGGAUAAAGGCCUUGGGAAUGUAGCUCUCUUCGGGGAGUGUUAUAGCCCUUGGUGCAAUACGUCCUACCUGGACUGAGGCCCGCGCUUCGGCUAGGAUGCUGGCGUAAUGGUCGUAAGCGGCCCGUCUUGAAACACGGACCAAGGAGUCUAACAUCUAUGCGAGUGUUUGGGUGUCAAACCCGUGCGCGAAAUGAAAGUGAACGGAGGUGGGAACCUUUGGGUGCACCAUCGACCGAUCCUGAUGUCUUCGGAUGGAUUUGAGUAAGAGCAUAGCUGUUGGGACCCGAAAGAUGGUGAACUAUGCCUGAAUAGGGUGAAGCCAGAGGAAACUCUGGUGGAGGCUCGCAGCGGUUCUGACGUGCAAAUCGAUCGUCAAAUUUGGGUAUAGGGGCGAAAGACUAAUCGAACUAUCUAGUAGCUGGUUCCUGCCGAAGUUUCCCUCAGGAUAGCAGUGACGUUUUCAGUUUUAUGAGGUAAAGCGAAUGAUUAGAGGCCUUGGGGUUGAAACAACCUUAACCUAUUCUCAAACUUUAAAUAUGUAAGAAGUCCUUGUUACUUAGUUGAACGUGGACAUUCGAAUGUAUCGU